AACGAACGCUGGCGGCGCGCCUAACACAUGCAAGUCGAACGAGAAGGCGUAGCAAUACGCUUGUAGAGUGGCGAACGGGUGAGUAAUACGUGGGUGACCUACCCUCGAGUGGGGAAUAACCCGCCGAAAGGCGGGCUAAUGCCGCGUACGCUUCCGUCCUCACGGGGACGGAAGGAAAGCUGUACCGUGGGUACGGCGCUCAAGGGUGGGCUCACGUCCUAUCAGCUUGUUGGUAGGGUAACGCCUACCAAGGCUACGACGGGUAGCUGGUCUGAGAGGACGAUCAGCCACACUGGCACUGCGACACGGGCCAGACUCCUACGGGAGGCAGCAGU
Molecule: ribosomal RNA, 335 nt
Filed under: uncultured bacterium
Lineage: Bacteria
Description: bacterial SSU rRNA
Rfam family: Bacterial small subunit ribosomal RNA
Source: RNAcentral